UGUGGAGAGCGGUGUUAGCCAUAGAGGCUCCAUAUUAAAUCUUACCCUCCACUGCAUAGAGCAAGGAGACUGUGUUAUGAGGAACCGCGUCCCUGCCAACCUAAAUGUUUACCUUCAGAAAUUGUCCUGGAAACAUGAUGAACGUUCUGUAACCCCGAGAAACAAAGAAGCCCAUGAGGGUGGGGAAUUUCCAAAGAACUAGAGAACAGGGAAGUAGGUGUCUCUGGAUAAGGGUCAUGAUUAAUGACCAAACUCACCAAGUGUAUAAAAGAAAGGUGAAAAAUAAACUUGGGCACUCGAUCUCUGGGAGCCCUCCCGGCUCUAUCUCUUUGUCUUUAUUUUUCUUCAUCCUCAUUCCCCCAUUCAGGUACUGUUCGACAGGUGACGGCGGGCUCCGUCACGGGUGGCACCCGAACAGGGACCUGAAUACGGGGGACCAUAGUGAAGGACACCGCGGAUUGUGAGCUCGGAUAAGUCAAGGGCGGUGAAUACACUCGGGAGUAGCAAGAUGGGUAAUAGCAGUAGCCCAAUGCUUUUUGCGCAAAUACUUAAGAAUAUGCUUCGGUCUCGUGGAGCAAAGGACGCUGAAGGCACCAGGUGGCUGCCUGAAAGAUUGGUCUGUUUCACGGGGAAUUCUCUUGCCCCUCAGGAUGAUUCUGACAACUGUCCUGCUGAUGAAUCUAAUGAUGAUGCUUAAUGGGGAAGUUUAUUGGACUUAUGUACCUGAUCCACCUGUGGCGGCCCCUGACAAGAACGAGGUUCGAUCGUUCAACUAUACGGGAUCACUGGAGUCCAUCUACAUCUACCUGUGGAGGCUAGUAGUCAAUGAUGGGUAAGAGGAGUACAGGAAAUCACCAACCUAAGACAGAGCAAGAGUACUGUGACGCUCUUGACUCGAUGACGGGUAAGAGAUUUCUUUAUAUUCCUCGCCUAAGACAGGCACAGUCUAUCUGCGUGAUCAAGGGACCUUGGUCAUAAUAUAUAAAACGGGGAGAUGUGGAGAGCGGUGUUAGCCAUAGAGGCUCCAUAUUAAAUCUUACCCUCCAUUGCAUAGAGCAAGGAGACUGUGUUAUGAGGAACCGCGUCCCUGCCAACCUAAAUGUUUACCUUCAGAAAUUGUCCUGGAAACACGAUGAACGUUCUAUAACCCCGAGAAACAAAGAAGCCCAUGAGGGUGGGGAAUUUCCAAAGAACUAGAGAACAGGGAAGUAGGUGUCUCUGGAUAAGGGUCAUGAUUAAUGACCAAACUCACCAAGUGUAUAAAAGAAAGGUGAAAAAUAAACUUGGGCACUCGAUCUCUGGGAGCCCUCCCGGCUCUAUCUCUUUGUCUUUUUCUUCAUCCUCACUCCCCCAUUCAGGUACUGUUCAACAGGUGACGGCGGGCUCCGUCACCAGUUUGAAUCUAGUAUAAGAAAGCAGAUAAAACUGAGAAACAUUAAGCAAAAU
RNAcentral lists this long non-coding RNA (1446 nucleotides) under Heterocephalus glaber (naked mole-rat). RNAcentral describes it as "lncRNA (ENSHGLG00100040664.1)". The record is from RNAcentral. Lineage: Eukaryota; Metazoa; Chordata; Mammalia; Rodentia; Bathyergidae.